This 77-nucleotide transfer RNA is filed under the name Oscillospiraceae bacterium. Its description in RNAcentral is "tRNA-Met". It matches the Rfam family "tRNA". Rfam says of the family: Transfer RNA (tRNA) molecules are approximately 80 nucleotides in length. Their secondary structure includes four short double-helical elements and three loops (D, anti-codon, and T loops). Lineage: Bacteria; Bacillati; Bacillota; Clostridia; Eubacteriales; Oscillospiraceae. The record is from RNAcentral.
GGGCCAAUAGCUCAGUUGGUUAGAGCUACCGGCUCAUAACCGGUUGGUCCGGGGUUCGAGUCCCUGUUGGCCCACCA